CAAAUUUCAAAAAAUUACAAAGUAAUCACAAAUAUAUAAUUAAAAAUCAAAACUAAAAAAUAAAAAUCAUUCAUCUUCUUCCUCCAUCUUCUUGUUCCACAUCUUAGCUUCUGCUUGCUUAAUUCUCACGAUGCUCUCCAAUUCAUCAUAAACGAUUUUUUAUCCAAUUCGUAAAUCCACUUUUAUUUCGUAUUUAUCAUCCCCCUUGUCAUCAAGGCUGGAAUGUAAACCAACCGAUUUUUUCCAAACAAGGCGCUUGUAUGAAGAGACGGACUUUAGCCACAUGGGUCCUUGGCUGGACCCAGCAAUACCAUUACUGCCUUCUUUAUUUGUUGUUGGUAAAUCUUUCUUGAAUUCGGUAGGAACAAAGCCUAGCUUCAACAAAUCGGAUUGUGCAAUUAAAGAUAUGCAAGUGAAGACAUUAUUCAUGAUAUGCAGCGGAAGAAUAACAAAGAUAAUUUUUUUUUAAAGCUACACACACACACACACACACAUAGAGAGAGAGAGAGAGAGGGGAGAGAGAGAGAGAGAGAGAGAGAGAGAGAGAGAGAAGAAGAAGAAGAAGAAGAAGAAGAUGAUG
This 580-nucleotide long non-coding RNA is filed under the name Olea europaea subsp. europaea. The record is from RNAcentral. Lineage: Eukaryota; Viridiplantae; Streptophyta; Magnoliopsida; Lamiales; Oleaceae.